This 440-nucleotide ribosomal RNA is filed under the name uncultured bacterium. Its description in RNAcentral is "partial 16S ribosomal RNA". It matches the Rfam family "Bacterial small subunit ribosomal RNA", at positions 338 to 795 of the family's 1533-position model. The record is from RNAcentral.
CCUACGGGAGGCAGCAGUGGGGGAUAUUGCACAAUGGGGGGAACCCUGAUGCAGCGACGCCGCGUGGGUGAAGAAGCGCCUCGGCGCGUAAAGCCCUGUCAGCAGGGAAGAAAAUGACGGUACCUGAAGAAGAAGCCCCGGCUAACUACGUGCCAGCAGCCGCGGUAAUACGUAGGGGACAAGCGUUAUCCGGAUUUACUGGGUGUAAAGGGGGCGCAGACGGCGAUGCAAGCCAGGAGUGAAAGCCCGGGGACCAACCCCGGGACUGCUCUUGGAACUGCGUGGCUGGAGUGCAGGAGGGGCAGGCGGAAUUCCUGGUGUAGCGGUGAAAUGCGUAGAUAUCAGGAGGAACACCGGUGGCGAAGGCGGCCUGCUGGACUGCAACUGACGUUGAGGCCCGAAAGCGUGGGGAGCAAACAGGAUUAGAUACCCUAGUAGUC